Molecule: long non-coding RNA, 503 nt
Filed under: Salmo salar (Atlantic salmon)
Lineage: Eukaryota; Metazoa; Chordata; Actinopteri; Salmoniformes; Salmonidae
Description: lncRNA (ENSSSAG00000103477.1)
Source: RNAcentral
AGUGUCUAUAGGUCUCUUAAGGUGUUGCUAUCUAAGGUGAACUCCUCAAAGCUGAAUAUUUUCCAUUGACGUCACGUUGGUGUGAAACCUGUUUACCUCGAUGCUAGACCCUCCUCUUCCUGUCACAACAUGGGUUUCAGAGAAAAGGACCACGAGCUGAAAACUUUCCAUUCAAUUGAACCAAUCGCUGCUCGUAUGUCCUUUCAUGGUAAAGUACAUCUAGUCAUGAACACAGAAAUACGCAGAAAAGACCUUGUUACUCAAAGACCCAGCUACUCUCUGACAGUCACCAUCAGACCAUCAGACCACCAGAUGGACAGGCUGUGUGUUUCUCUGAUUGCAUUCUUAUGUGCUGUUUCCGCCAGUCAGGAUGGGAUCUCUGCAGCAGAGGUGGAGCUGAGAGUCAGACCAGGAGACAGUGGUCAAUCAAUCAGUCAAACCUUCAUUCCAAUACUCUUCUGCAACUGAGACCACGACCAGGGGAAGUGAGAGAAAGGAGAAAG